CGCUGGCGGCACGCCUAACACAUGCAAGUCGAACGCAGUAGCAAUACUGAGUGGCAAACGGGUGAGUAUAAUGUGGGAAUCUGCCUUUUGGUUUGGAAUAACACGGGGAAACUUGUGCUAAUACCGAAUAAGCCCUUACGGGGAAAGUUUUAACGCCGAAAGAUGAGCCCGCACUUGAUUAGCUAGUUGGUAAGGUAAAAGCUUACCAAGGCAAUGAUCAAUAGCUGUUCUUAGAGGAAGACCAGCCACAUUGGGACUGAGACACGGCCCAGACUCCUACGGGAGGCAGCAGUGGGGAAUCUUGCACAAUGGGGGAAACCCUGAUGCAGCGAUGCCGCGUGAGUGAAGAAGGCCUUUGGGUUGUAAAACUCUUUCGUCGGGGAAGAAAAUGACUGUACCCGAAUAAGAAGGUCCGGCUAACUUCGUGCCAGCAGCCGCGGUAAUACGAAGGGACCUAGCGUAGUUCGGAAUUACUGGGCUUAAAGAGCUCGUAGGUGGUUAAAAAAGUUGAUGGUGAAAUCCCAAGGCUUAACCUUGGAACUGCCAUCAAAACUUUUUAGCUAGAGUGUGAUAGAGGUAAGUGGAAUUUCUAGUGUAGAGGUGAAAUUCGUAGAUAUUAGAAAGAACACCAAAUGCGAAGGCAACUUACUGGGUCACUACUGACACUGAGGAGCGAAAGCAUGGGUAGCGAAGAGGAUUAGAUACCCUCGUAGUCCAUGCCGUAAACGAUGUGUGCUAGACGUUGGAAAUAUAUUUUUCAGUGUCGCAGCGAAAGCAUUAAGCACACCGCCUGGGGAGUACGACCGC
This 807-nucleotide ribosomal RNA is filed under the name uncultured Pelagibacteraceae bacterium. Its description in RNAcentral is "bacterial SSU rRNA". It matches the Rfam family "Bacterial small subunit ribosomal RNA", at positions 34 to 889 of the family's 1533-position model. Lineage: Bacteria; Pseudomonadati; Pseudomonadota; Alphaproteobacteria; Candidatus Pelagibacterales; Candidatus Pelagibacteraceae. The record is from RNAcentral.